RNAcentral lists this long non-coding RNA (431 nucleotides) under Octopus sinensis (East Asian common octopus). RNAcentral's name for it is "uncharacterized LOC118766560, transcript variant X1". The record is from RNAcentral. Lineage: Eukaryota; Metazoa; Mollusca; Cephalopoda; Octopoda; Octopodidae.
GUGUGUGUGUGUGUGUGUGUGUCUAUAGACACACACACACAUAUGUAUAUACAUGUAUAUAAUGUGUAUCAGAAUGUGUGUGUGUGUGUGAUAUAUUUGCAUGUUUUCUAAUGAUACAUUAUGAGAUUGAGCUGAAGUAUUGGAAACAUUCUCCCUUCUAAAUUUUGUUUGUUUGUGUUUAUGUGUGUGUGUGUGAGAGAGUGUUUUGGAGAUGUUCUUGAUUGGCAGGUGAUUUGAUUAGAGACCGUGUGUUAAAAGGAAAGCAAAUACACAUAUUAACCAUUUAAAGGCACACAAACAUUUACUAACUUGUGUCAAAACUUUUGUUCUACUAACUGACCGAAUUCUAUUGGGAAACUGUGACAAUUACCAGGUUGUAGUAAGUGUGACGAAAUUUUUGACAGCAAUUAAUAAAUGUUAAAGUUAACGGG